Molecule: long non-coding RNA, 1771 nt
Organism: Cannabis sativa
Lineage: Eukaryota; Viridiplantae; Streptophyta; Magnoliopsida; Rosales; Cannabaceae
Exons: 3
Source: RefSeq, a predicted model, not a curated record
AAAAAAAUAACAAACAAACUAACCUUCCUUGUUUAUUGAGAAAAAACAACUAACCCUCCUCCUUUUUUGCUCAGAAACAAAGUGUUUUUUAUUCCCUUUCUUCUUCAAAUUUUGUUUCGCAUAUCUUCAUUCUCAAUUCCAAAUUCUCUCCGCCUCCAUUCGCAUCAUAAAAGCCUAAGCUUUGACUCUCAAACCUCGUACAGAUAACGAUGAAUGCCCCGAUAAUCGAUCCUUUGCGAGGGGAUUUCCCUGAAGUUAUAGAAGAGUAUUUAGAACAUGGGGUCAUGAAGUGCAUUGCUUUUAAUCGUCGCGACACUCUUCUUGCUGGUAAUAUUCGCACUUUUAGCUAUUUCCCUUAUGUUUUUUCUGUACUUACUGUUACAGAGUUUACUAUAUAUGCGUGUUUUCGCGAGUUGGUGGAAAUUGGCAUGCCUUUGAUAAUGUGGCUAUCUGGGUAGCCUUGAAAUUAGUUACUGUAGUGGAGCUUACUGUCGCUUAUUUGUCAUCAUGUAGAAUUUCGUCUGUGUAAGUUUUUAAUUCUCUGCCAAAAGAAAAGUUUUUCAUUCUGAUUAAUGAAAAGUGGCUUUGUUUGUCUCAACUUGUCAAUUUUAGGCAUAUAUUUGGGAUUAGUUGUGUUAAGAAAAAUGAAUUAAUUCUAAUUAAUGUUUUGCUCUCUAUUUUGAUUAAUGUACGCAUAUAUGAAGUCGAAAAGAAAAGAAAAAUCUAGAAACGAUUUUUAAAUCAGAUGGAAAUAAAUGGCUUAUUUGAAAGAGGAAGAAGAAGUUAAAGAGGAUGAACACGGAGAAGAAGGAUAAGAACUUAAAGAGCUGUUGUUCCUGGCCCAUGUGAACCUUGGAAGUUCCCUACUAGAGGAGACCUGAAGCUUAACGUUGAUGCAGCUAUUAAUAUUGCUGGUAGAAUUUCAGGUGUCGGAGCUAUUGUUUGGAGUGAAUUUGGCCACAUGGUUGUUGCUUUGUCCAAACCUCUCACAGGGUGUUAUAAGGCUCAUGAGAUGGAAGUCUUGGCUCUUUUUCACAGCCUCCUUUGGGCUUCACAGUUGCAGUUGCCUAUUAAUGAAAUAGAAAUAAAUGCGCUUAAAGUUUCCAUGGCAAUCAAUCAACCCUCGCCUAUGUUAUCUACUUUUGCAUCAAUCAACCCUCGCCUAUGUUAUCUACUUUUGCAGAUAUUAUUGGAAGUUGUAGGUCUUUUUUCAUUUUUUUUCUGGAUUUGUUGUCUUUCAUGUUUGUAGAGAUGCCAAUAAAACUGCUCAUGACUUAGCAAAACAUACUUUUGAGUUGGAUAAAUCUCUGUUUGGUUAAAGGAUGUCCCCUCCCCUAUAUCAUUUGUUGUUGUAAAUGAAUAAGUUUGAUUUAUAAUUACAGGUUUAAUUAUUCCAAAAAAAGAACAUAUUAAAUGUCUUAUUACCAUAGAAGAAUAAGAAUGAUCUAUUAUACUCUUGACCACUUUUACUCUUUUAUUUCCCUUUUAUACAUUAUAUUAAACACUUAAUUACUUUCUAAAAUGAUAUUAUUUAUUUAAUUAAAAUAUAUAUAAUAGUUUAUUAUAAUAAUUAAAAUUUAUUAUAUACUUCAAAUAAAAAAAAAAGUAUAAUAUACUAAAUAAAAGAAAUUAAUAAAAACUAAAUGUACGUGCAUUUGCACGUAACUUCAGUAUAGUAUAUAUAUAUAUAUUAUAGGAAUUUUUUAAGUUUUAACCAAAAAAAAAAUAACAAUAUUACAAAAAUACUUUCAGCUGGCCAAAUAAACAAAUA